CAGUCGUGGGGGAUAACGCAGCGAAAGCUGUGCUAAUACCGCAUACGAUCUGCGGAUGAAAGCGGGGGACCUUCGGGCCUCGCGCGAUUGGAGCGGCCGAUGUCAGAUUAGGUAGUUGGUGGGGUAAAGGCCCACCAAGCCGACGAUCUGUAGCUGGUCUGAGAGGACGACCAGCCACACUGGGACUGAUUUUUUUGCCCAGACUCCUACGGGAGGCAGCAGUGGG
RNAcentral lists this ribosomal RNA (226 nucleotides) under uncultured bacterium. Its description in RNAcentral is "partial 16S ribosomal RNA". It matches the Rfam family "Bacterial small subunit ribosomal RNA", at positions 131 to 358 of the family's 1533-position model. The record is from RNAcentral.